RNAcentral lists this ribosomal RNA (497 nucleotides) under uncultured bacterium. Its description in RNAcentral is "partial 16S ribosomal RNA". It matches the Rfam family "Bacterial small subunit ribosomal RNA", at positions 28 to 507 of the family's 1533-position model. The record is from RNAcentral.
GAUGAACGCUGGCGGCGUGCCUAAUACAUGCAAGUCGAGCGAACAGAUGAGGAGCUUGCUCCUCUGACGUUAGCGGCGGACGGGUGAGUAACACGUGGAUAACCUACCUAUAAGACUGGGAUAACUUCGGGAAACCGGAGCUAAUACCGGAUAAUAUAUUGAACCGCAUGGUUCAAUAGUGAAAGACGGUUUUGCUGUCACUUAUAGAUGGAUCCGCGCCGCAUUAGCUAGUUGGUAAGGUAACGGCUUACCAAGGCAACAAUGCGUAGCCGACCUGAGAGGGUGAUCGGCCACACUGGAACUGAGACACGGUCCAGACUCCUACGGGAGGCAGCAGUAGGGAAUCUUCCGCAAUGGGCGAAAGCCUGACGGAGCAACGCCGCGUGAGUGAUGAAGGUCUUCGGAUCGUAAAACUCUGUUAUUAGGGAAGAACAAAUGUGUAAGUAACUAUGCACGUCUUGACGGUACCUAAUCAGAAAGCCACGGCUAACUACGUG